This 206-nucleotide ribosomal RNA is filed under the name Keithomyces acicularis. Its description in RNAcentral is "Metarhizium aciculare 18S ribosomal RNA". The stretch from base 1 to 57 matches the Rfam family "Eukaryotic small subunit ribosomal RNA", at positions 1773 to 1831 of the family's 1831-position model. The record is from RNAcentral. Lineage: Eukaryota; Fungi; Ascomycota; Sordariomycetes; Hypocreales; Clavicipitaceae.
UUGGAAGUAAAAAGUCGUAACAAGGUCUCCGUUGGUGAACCAGCGGAGGGAUCAUUACCGAGUUUACAACUCCCAAACCCCUGUGAACUUAUACCUAUACUGUUGCUUCGGCGGGUCAUUGCCCCGGGGAAGGACAGGGUGACCGUCAGGUCUCCCCUGCCCGCCCCCCCGGAAACAGGCGCCCGCCGGGGGAAUCAAACUCUAUA